RNAcentral lists this ribosomal RNA (463 nucleotides) under Lactobacillus delbrueckii. Its description in RNAcentral is "bacterial SSU rRNA". It matches the Rfam family "Bacterial small subunit ribosomal RNA", at positions 339 to 794 of the family's 1533-position model. The record is from RNAcentral. Lineage: Bacteria; Bacillati; Bacillota; Bacilli; Lactobacillales; Lactobacillaceae.
CUACGGGAAGGCAGCAGUAGGGAAUCUUCCACAAUGGACGCAAGUCUGAUGGAGCACGCCGCGUGAGUGAAGAAGGUUUUCGGAUCGUAAAGCUCUGUUGUUGGUGAAGAAGGAUAGAGGCAGUAACUGGUCUUUAUUUGACGGUAAUCAACCAGAAAGUCACGGCUAACUACGUGCCAGCAGCCGCGGUAAUACGUAGGUGGCAAGCGUUGUCCGGAUUUAUUGGGCGUAAAGCGAGCGCAGGCGGAAUGAUAAGUCUGAUGUGAAAGCCCACGGCUCAACCGUGGAACUGCAUCGGAAACUGUCAUUCUUGAGUGCAGAAGAGGAGAGUGGAAUUCCAUGUGUAGCGGUGGAAUGCGUAGAUAUAUGGAAGAACACCAGUGGCGAAGGCGGCUCUCUGGUCUGCAACUGACGCUGAGGCUCGAAAGCAUGGGUAGCGAACAGGAUUAGAUACCCUGGUAGU